RNAcentral lists this small nucleolar RNA (121 nucleotides) under Dasypus novemcinctus (nine-banded armadillo). Its description in RNAcentral is "Small nucleolar RNA SNORA24 (ENSDNOG00000029058.1)". It matches the Rfam family "Small nucleolar RNA SNORA24", at positions 6 to 106 of the family's 131-position model. Rfam says of the family: ACA24 is a member of the H/ACA class of snoRNA that guide the sites of modification of uridines to pseudouridines. The record is from RNAcentral. Lineage: Eukaryota; Metazoa; Chordata; Mammalia; Cingulata; Dasypodidae.
GGAAGCUUUGGGACCUGUCAUCUGUGGCAGUCUCCCUCCCUAGCCAUGGAAGAGCAUUUUCUUGUUUACUGGCAAAGCUGUUGUUGUGGAAUUUAAGAGAAGUUUAAUUAUUUGAGUAUAG